RNAcentral lists this long non-coding RNA (1397 nucleotides) under Homo sapiens (human). RNAcentral's name for it is "HSALNT0097135". Lineage: Eukaryota; Metazoa; Chordata; Mammalia; Primates; Hominidae. The record is from RNAcentral.
CAGAUGAUAACAGUAAGUGGCUGAACUACGUGUAACCCACCAUGUGGAUUGACAUCACCCAACCUGACCAGACGCUGAUGAACAAGAAGAGUCCACUGAUCACUUGCUUGGAUGUCACAGCACUGACAAGUGAAGAAACCAAGGCACAGAGAGGUUAAGUAACCAUCCCAAAGGCACAGCCAAUAAAUCCUGAACCCCUACUCAGCUGCCUUGCUGCCUGGGCAGACUGAAGAAUGCUUCUUACUCAGAGCAGUGAUUUUGAUUUUACUAAGAAGCUCCUGGGAAGCUCUGUUCCUUGGUUUCCAUAAAUGCUUUUAUUUGAUUUUCAGAUGAAUUACUAAUUUGUGGUGUUAUGAAGAGCAGAAAGGAGAAUAGAUUGAGAGUGCUGUUCCUCUCAUGUAGAGGUGGCAGUUUGUUUGGUAGGGGGAGCAGGGAGGAGGUCCAGGUACAGCUUGAGAAAAAAAAUACCAACAACCCUUCCCAGUCUUCUCCCCCCAAAGAUAGGUUAUUUCACAAAUCAGAUAAAUACCAUAUAGCAGAGUGCACCUCCUUGAAAACUGGAAAAUAAAUUGCAUUGACCCAAGGAGAACAAGAUGUGAUAAAGAAAGUUAAUCAUUAUUGUUCUUCCCCAUUAAAAACAACAACAAAACUUUAAAAAGAGCCUGUCCUAAAAAUCAGAUAAACAAAACACAAUGUUGUUGUAUUCAAGAGUCAGUUUAUCUAAUAAGGCAGCCUCUAUAUAUCUGUUCAAAAAGAAGUGAAAGUUCAUUCAGCUUGGGUUUGUCAUCAAAAUAUUGAUAUUAGAAAGUACUGAGAUGGCAAUCAAUUGGGAUGCCUGAUAUAUAUAUAAAUAUAUAUAUAUUUUUACAGAUCAUCUCUCGAACUUGAGUAGUUGCUUACACAGCUAUGUACAGAAGUGUUUUCUGCAGGACUUUGGAUGAAAUGACCCUUCAAGGUGGUUUGGUGUCUUUCAAGUACACGGCUGUGUUUAUACCCCAUCCCGGAUCAGACAAGCUUCACUAACCACAGAAGUUGGGAUAAAAGCCAGAUGCAUCCCACACAUUCCUGUGGUCCUCCUGCCUUCUGGCAAACUCUAGGACCAGAUUGAAAAAUCUGUGCCCAGUUUGGAGGCCAAGUUUGGUGUGAUCCGGGGAUGAUUUAUAUGGCUCUGGGUGGAGUCCACAUGACAUGUGCUACUUUGGCCAAGUUUAGCUUUGGAGUUUCUGACUCAUUUGAAGUAAAAUGUACCAGGUGGGGACAGAUGGACUCCCCAACAGGGACCAGAGGGGUUUCCUCCAAAUCUUGUGGGACCCAAAAACCACUGAAUUUCUCACGUCCCUAUUCAAAGGCCUAAAAAACAGGCAACACAGGUGGUGUCAGGGAGAAGGAGUUGGAUG